RNA transcript from Nycticebus coucang (slow loris), 1517 nucleotides. It is a transcript of the gene named akirin-1-like, with no coding region annotated. Lineage: Eukaryota; Metazoa; Chordata; Mammalia; Primates; Lorisidae. The transcript has a single exon. The record is from RefSeq and is a predicted model, not a curated record.
AUGCGGGGCCAGCUGCAGCGGCCCGUGGAGUUCCAGGCGGCUCUGCUGAGCCCUGGUUCCCCGAAACCGUGGCUCUGCGCCCCUUCCCCGGCCCCGCUCCGGGCCUUAGGCCCCCGGACGCCCAGCCGCCCCCGCCGCCGCUUCAGACCCAGACCCCGCAGCCCACUCUGCAGCAGCCCGCCCCCCGGCAGCGAGCGGCGCCUUCCAACUCCGGAGCAAAUUUUUUCAGAACAUAAAACAAGAAUAUCGUCGUUACCAGAGGUGGAGACAUUUAGAAGUUGUUCUUAAUCAGAGUGAAGUCUGUGCUUCGGAAAGUCAACCUCACUCCUCAGCACUCACAGCACCUAGUUCUCCAGGUUCCUCCUGGAUAAAGAAGGACCAGCCCACCUUCACCCUCAGACAAGUUGGAAUAAUCUGUGAGCGUCUCCUUAAGGACUAUGAGGACAAGAUCCGGGAGGAGUAUGAACAGGUCCUCAACACCAAACUAGCAGAACAAUAUGAAUCUUUUGUGAAAUUCACACAGGAUCAGAUUAUGCGACGGUAUGGGACAAGGCCAACAAGCUAUGUGUCCUGAAGCUGUGUUGCAUAUCUGGGUACCAGGUUUGGUCUCAAGAGAUGGCUGCUGUACACUUUUUGCAACUGGUUUGAUAUCACAUUUCAGCUCCAACUUUGCAUCCUGAGAAUCCAUAGCAUUUCUGCAGGUCCAUUUUAUACAACUUGAAAGACCUUAAAACUUUCUGGUUGCCACAAGCCUAUCUUUCUUUUCUGCUCAUCCAAUAGACAGCUGUGCCCUACUGUGAUAGAUUUUCCAAACAAAAAUACCUGGAGCAGCAGUUUAGCAAAAUAUGCCUUUAGUGGCACUCAACAAAUGGAGUUUCCCCAAGCACAGUUCUGUAAGAAGUGUGUGUGAGAGUGUGUGUCUAUCUGUGUGUGUGUGUUUUAAGUUAUUUGUAUUGUGCAAAUUUUUUUUUGAUCUUGGGGAUUCUGGCUGUGAAUUUGAUGCACGACAAUUAUGGUUUAAAACAUUUGCUUGGUCUACAGAAGGUCAUUAAUGUUUUGUGACCAUAGAAGUUGUAACAGUGGAUUGUUUUAUGUGUAGGUAUUAUUGUUAAAUACAGGGACUGUUGCCAGGCACAGAAUAUGAAUCAUAAGUUAGGAUGGACAUUAGAUGUGAUUAUGAGGAUAUAGUGAAGGUCUGCAGUCCUAGAUCUACAAAUGUGUGGUGAGAAAUUAGAACAAACUGGAGACGGCCAUUGACACAUGGACUUUGCCUGGCUGUGUUAGAAAAAUACUUUGACUCCAACCCUUAAACUACCCACGUGGAGUCAGCACUCACCUCAUUUACACUGUCAAGAGCUCCCUGGACACUGAACCUCCAAGGGGAGGAGGUCUCCCCUGAAGCAGGAGCAUCAGGGUUUACUCGGGAGCAUAACAUAGGUGAGUGUGGGCCAGGGGCUGGGUCAGGCCCUGGCAGCACUGCUGCUUGGGAGGAGCCACUUCACCUUUGUAUCAGUUGU